GCCUCCCUCUUUCUUCGUGCUUAACACAUGCAAGUCGAACGGAAAGGCCUGCUUUCCCUUGUGGAUUGCGGGUACUCGAGUGGCGAACGGGUGAGUAACACGUGAGUGAUCUGCCCCCAACUUGGGUAUAAGCCUGGGAAACUGGGUCUAAUUCCCGAUAGGACUGCAGGGUGGUGCCUGUGGUGGAAAACGAUUUUCUAGUGGUUGGGGAUGAGCUCGCGGCCUAUCAGCUUGUUGGUGGGGUAAUGGCCAACCAAGGCGGCGACGGGUAGCCGGCCUGAGAGGGUGGACGGCCACAUUGGGACUGAGAUACGGCCCAGACUCCUACGGGAGGCAGCAGUGGGGAAUAUUACACAAUGGGCGGAAGCCUGAUGCAGCGACGCCGCGUGGGGGAUGACGGCCUUCGGGUUGUAAACUCCUUUCGACCGCGAGGAAGCCACCUGGUUGGAAGGGUGGUGACGGUAGUGGUAGAAGAAGCACCGGCUAACUACGUG
RNAcentral lists this ribosomal RNA (494 nucleotides) under uncultured bacterium. RNAcentral describes it as "partial 16S ribosomal RNA". It matches the Rfam family "Bacterial small subunit ribosomal RNA", at positions 36 to 507 of the family's 1533-position model. The record is from RNAcentral.